AUAAAUAAACUAUCGGUAUAUCUGCCCAGUGAAUCUUCAACGGCCGCAGUAUCUAACUGUGCUAAGGUAAGCAUAAUAAUUAGUUUUUUAAUUGAAAACUCGUAUGAAAGAAUCGACGAGAGACCUUCUGUCUCGGUAAUUCUACUAACUUACUAUAAGGGUAAAAAAGCCCUAAUCUUCUAAUGGGACGACAAGACCCUAUAAAACUUUACUCCACCUCCUGCAGUUAGUCGAAUCUUUACAGGAUAUGAGUUAUGCUGGGGCGGCAACUUUUAUCUUAAACACUAUAACACCUAACAUACUCUAUGAUUCUAUCGAACCCACCUAAGUAACCGAGAACAAGUUACUUUAGGGAUAACAGCGUAAUAUUUCUUUAGAGCCCCUAUCGACAGAAAUGAUUUCGACCUCGAUGUUGAAUUGAAGACUCUCCGUAGAGCAG
This 439-nucleotide ribosomal RNA is filed under the name Sphaeroma sp. MB-2006. RNAcentral describes it as "partial 16S ribosomal RNA". It matches the Rfam family "Archaeal large subunit ribosomal RNA", at positions 1929 to 2627 of the family's 2987-position model. Lineage: Eukaryota; Metazoa; Arthropoda; Malacostraca; Isopoda; Sphaeromatidae. The record is from RNAcentral.